Molecule: long non-coding RNA, 1485 nt
Organism: Bos indicus x Bos taurus (hybrid cattle)
Lineage: Eukaryota; Metazoa; Chordata; Mammalia; Artiodactyla; Bovidae
Source: Ensembl
GAUCUUAGUGCCCUGACCAGGGAUUGAACCCAGGCACCCUGCAUUGGGAGCAUGGAGUCUUAAGCCAAUGGGCCCCCAGGGAAGUCCCCCUCUCCUGUUGUAUGAACACCAGUCAUUGGAUUUAGGGCUCACCCAAAUCCUAGAUGACCUCAUCUUCACUUAAUCACACCAGCAAAGACCCUGUUUCCAAAUAAGGUCACACUCACAGGUCCUGGGAUUAAGACUUGAACAUAACCUUUUUCAGGGCACACAAUUUCACACACAACAUAUGGAGAGAAAUGAAGGGAUUCGAGAAAUAUCAAAACAAGAGAAAUCUUAAUGAUUAUUUGGGGGGAGGAAGGAGGGAAAACAGAACAAAGAGUAAAAUGACUCAAAUACUGUUACAUACAUAACAAAGCCUGGAGUGAUGCUGGUGUCUUGCUCCUCUCUGAAUGAGAUCCUUAGGGUAGGGUUUCAGGAACUUGAUUCCAAUAUAUUGGGAUCAGUAAACAUCUUGCUGAAAUAAACUUUCUGCCUGAGAGCCUGUCUCCCUUACCCGUGGGGCAGGUCUGGGGAGGGAGGAGCUGGAAGAGCACAUGCCCUUUGCCCAUGGAGUCCCCGGCUGAUCGCACUAACUUCAAUUCAGAACACACUGGAAAGCCAAAAUCAAGAUCACAGAGUGCUGGGGACACCUGAAGCUGCUCCAUGUCUUAGCUGCCUCAAAGAAAGGAUGGAAUGGGAGACCAUGGGCCUUUCUCAAGGAGGACCAUCUAGAGGACCGUGCUCAGAGGUUCUGAUGCUCUGGAGGACGUGGGAAGACACAGAUUACUGGGCCUCACCCCAGAGUGUCUGAUUCAGCAGGUCUGGGGUAAGGACCCAAAGUUUGCAUUUCUGUGUUGUUCCCAUUUCUGAGAAUGGAGAACCACAGCCAGAGAUGAACGGCUCUCAGCCCUGGUUGCGUGUAGGGGUCACUGUGCUGUGCUGUGCUUUGUUGCUCAGUUGUGCUGGACUCUUUGCGACCCCAUGGACUGUAACCUCCAGGUUACCUGAAUUCUCCAGGUAAGAAUACUGGAGUGGGCUGCCAUGCCCUUCUCCGGGGGAUCUUCCUGACCCAGGGAUAUGGGGAGUUAAAAAUACUAAUGCCAGUGCUGGAUCCCAGACUGCCAGAAUCUUCAAGGAUGGAGCAUUACCUCUGACUUUAGAGUACCCCAGGAUUCUAAAGGAUAGUCAGGUUUGAGGUUAGCAUCAUUCUAUCACUAUGAUUGGCUGAGCAGUAGACACAGUGACAAAAUUCUGGACAAUAAGACAAGGGGGUGGUUGCUGGGGGACUUCUGGGUUAAUAACCACUGUCUUGCAUUGCAGAAGAUACUACAGCAGGAAGACGGAAAGAAUCUGAGUUCUCAGUGGUGUCCAUACUUGACCACUGAAACUGAGAACCCCGAAGCUGCACCAUCUCAGGACUUCCUGAGAUGUGGAAGUAAUAAAUGUCUUUAUUAUUAAAUGGCA